GUUUGACCCCCCGAAACUAGGCGAGCUACUUUUAAACAGCCUUACGAGCCAACCCAUCCCCGUGGCAAAGGGGCGGGAAGAUUUAAAAGUAGAGGCGACAUACCUACCGAGCCUAGAGAUAGCUGGUUAUUUAGGAAAAGGAUUUAAGUCCACCUUUAAGUUUUUUAAGUACACUCAAAACCCCCCACAAACUUAAAAGUCAUUCAAAUAAGGUACAGCCUAUUUGAACAAGGAGACAGCCUGCAACAUAGGGUAAUACACAUCUUCCUGUGACCGGGUAGGCCUAAGAGCAGCCAACCUCCAAAAAGCGUCCAAGCUUUGUCACUAACCAUUAAUAAUCCCACCAUCAACUAAUAACCCUAAACCACUACUAAAUAACCCCAUACUACUAUGGAAAAUAUUAUGCUAGAACUAGUAACAAGAAGAAGAACUUCUCCUGAAUACGAGCAUAAGCUGCAAUGAACUACUCACCGGCACUCACCGCUGCUAAAC
RNAcentral lists this ribosomal RNA (492 nucleotides) under Anodonthyla aff. boulengerii 'Ranomafana'. RNAcentral's name for it is "partial 16S ribosomal RNA". It matches the Rfam family "Bacterial large subunit ribosomal RNA", at positions 705 to 1396 of the family's 2925-position model. Lineage: Eukaryota; Metazoa; Chordata; Amphibia; Anura; Microhylidae. The record is from RNAcentral. RNAcentral also lists the same sequence under 1 other name.